UACAGAGGGUGCGAGCGUUGUCCGGAAUUACUGGGCGUAAAGGGCGCGUAGGCGGCCCGAUAAGUCGGGGGUGAAAUUCAGCGGCUCAACCGCUGGACUGCCUUCGAGACUGUCAGGCUCGAGCACGGUAGAGGCUGGUGGAAUUCCCGGUGUAGCGGUGGAAUGCGUAGAGAUCGGGAAGAACAUCGGUGGCGAAGGCGGCCAGCUGGGCCGUUGCUGACGCUGAGGCGCGACAGCGUGGGGAGCAAACAGGAUUAGAAACCCCCGUAGUCC
This 273-nucleotide ribosomal RNA is filed under the name uncultured bacterium. RNAcentral's name for it is "partial 16S ribosomal RNA". It matches the Rfam family "Bacterial small subunit ribosomal RNA", at positions 524 to 796 of the family's 1533-position model. The record is from RNAcentral.